RNAcentral lists this long non-coding RNA (452 nucleotides) under Helianthus annuus (common sunflower). RNAcentral's name for it is "hypothetical non coding rna". Lineage: Eukaryota; Viridiplantae; Streptophyta; Magnoliopsida; Asterales; Asteraceae. The record is from RNAcentral.
UCACCGUCUCCCAACUACGAGGUGGCUUCGACGGCGAAACCGGUUGCUGCGAUGGCCAAAGUUAAGAAGAAGGCAGGGUGGUGGUGGUGCUCGGUCAGGGUGGUGGUGCUCGGUGAGGGUGGUGGUUGGUUGCAGGGUGGUGGUGCUCGUUGAGGGUGGUGGUGAUGCUUGGUGAAGAAGAACUCUACUGAAUUGGGUCAAACAAAGUGGAUGACAGACUUUCUUUGAAGUUGACAAUAAACAGGGAGAUGACAGAGAGAGAGAGAGGGGACUGAAUGGACAGAGGUGCAGAAAAAAUGCAGCUGCACACGUGGCAGAAGGUCAUUGGGCGUGAGGGAAGAUCUUUUAAGCCGGGUUGGAAUUCGUGUAAAGGCUUGGGGAGCCGUGUCAGUUGGCCAAAAUUGAAAAAACGGCGCUGACUUGGCUAUUUUCGUGAUUUCCCCUUUUUUUUU